RNAcentral lists this ribosomal RNA (253 nucleotides) under uncultured bacterium. RNAcentral describes it as "partial 16S ribosomal RNA". It matches the Rfam family "Bacterial small subunit ribosomal RNA", at positions 524 to 776 of the family's 1533-position model. The record is from RNAcentral.
UACGGAGGGGGCUAGCGUUGUUCAGAAUUACUGGGCGUAAAGCGCGCGUAGGCGGCUUUGUAAGUCAGAGGUGAAAGCCCGGAGCUCAACUUCGGAAUAGCCUUUGAGACUGCAUCGCUUGAAUCCGGGAGAGGUGAGUGGAAUUCCGAGUGUAGAGGUGAAAUUCGUAGAUAUUCGGAAGAACACCAGUGGCGAAGGCGGCUCACUGGACCGGCAUUGACGCUGAGGUGCGAAAGCGUGGGGAGCAAACAGG